RNAcentral lists this transfer RNA (77 nucleotides) under Dehalococcoidia bacterium. RNAcentral's name for it is "tRNA-Arg". It matches the Rfam family "tRNA". From Rfam's summary of the family: Transfer RNA (tRNA) molecules are approximately 80 nucleotides in length. Their secondary structure includes four short double-helical elements and three loops (D, anti-codon, and T loops). Lineage: Bacteria; Bacillati; Chloroflexota; Dehalococcoidia. The record is from RNAcentral.
GCGCCUGUAGCUCAGUGGAUUAGAGCAUCGGUCUUCGAAACCGAGGGUCGUGGGUUCGAAUCCCACCAGGCGCACCA